AUUGAACGCUGGCGGAAUGCUUUACACAUGCAAGUCGAACGGCAGCACGGACUUCGGUCUGGUGGCGAGUGGCGAACGGGUGAGUAAUAUAUCGGAACGUAUCCAAUAAUGGGGGAUAACUAGUCGAAAGAUUGGCUAAUACCGCAUACGCCCUACGGGGGAAAGCAGGGGAUCUUCGGACCUUGCGUUAAUGGAGCGGCCGAUAUCUGAUUAGCUAGUUGGUGGGGUAAAGGCCCACCAAGGCGACGAUCAGUAGCUGGUCUGAGAGGACGACCAGCCACCCUGGAACUGAGACACGGUCCAGACUCCUACGGGAGGCAGCAGUGGGGAAUUUUGGACAAUGGGCGCAAGCCUGAUCCAGCCAUUCCGCGUGAGUGAAGAAGGCCUUCGGGUUGUAAAGCUCUUUCGCAAGGGAAGAAAACUUAGCCACUAACAUUGGCUGAGGUUGACGGUACCUUGAUAAGAAGCACCGGCUAACUACGUGCCAGCCGCCGCGGUAA
Molecule: ribosomal RNA, 500 nt
Filed under: uncultured bacterium
Lineage: Bacteria
Description: partial 16S ribosomal RNA
Rfam family: Bacterial small subunit ribosomal RNA
Source: RNAcentral